Molecule: ribosomal RNA, 323 nt
Filed under: uncultured Enterobacteriaceae bacterium
Lineage: Bacteria; Pseudomonadati; Pseudomonadota; Gammaproteobacteria; Enterobacterales; Enterobacteriaceae
Description: bacterial SSU rRNA
Rfam family: Bacterial small subunit ribosomal RNA
Source: RNAcentral
UGGGGAAUAUUGCACAAUGGGCGCAAGCCUGAUGCAGCCAUGCCGCGUGUAUGAAGAAGGCCUUCGGGUUGUAAAGUACUUUCAGCGGGGAGGAAGGCGUUGUGGUUAAUAACCACAGCGAUUGACGUUACCCGCAGAAGAAGCACCGUGACUCAACGCCGUGCCAGCCAGCCGCGUAAUACGGAGGGUGCAAGCGUUAAUCGGAAUUACUGGGCGUAAAGCGCACGCAGGCGGUCUGUCAAGUCGGAUGUGAAAUCCCCGGGCUCAACCUGGGAACUGCAUUCGAAACUGGCAGGCUAGAGUCUUGUAGAGGGGUAGGAAUU